AAACAAUAUCAAUAUAUUGCUAUAAUGAAUAGUUUGGCAAUUUGUAUGGUUGAUAUUUUGACAAUUCAAGUCCGCGAUAACUAUCCAAGUCUUCUUUCUUACGCAAUACCAGUAGCUCCUCUCAACUCCCAACUCCAUUGGCUUUAAUCAAUCACUCUUCAGAGUAAAUCACAAGGCAGGUAAUUCUCACCGUUGUUCAUGGAGAAAAGACACUUCCGUGAAAUCCCAUAUUCUUUUUCGUCUCUUCUUUUUCUCCUCCACUUCUUAUCGCUUCAACUUCCCUCUUCAGCUUACACUCGCCCCGAAGAGUAUUUCAUCAGCUGUGGUUCAGACACCAAUAUAUCCUCCGCCGGCCGGACCUUCACCGGUGACUCAUCUUCUGGAAAUUCUCUUUCCUUCACCUUCAAAGGGCAGAGCAGCACUGUUAAAGAUAGCAACAGAUCAACAAAAACACCAUCUCUGUAUCAAACAGCUAGACUUUUCAGGGAAAAUUCAUUUUAUGAGUUCGAAAUCAGUACCUCUGGUACUUAUCUGCUACGCCUACACUUCUUUGCUUUCUCAUCCCCAGAUAAUCUCUCCGCAGCUCAUUUCGAUGUUUCGGCUUCUGGGUUUUCUUUGUUAAAGAAUUUUACUCUGCAAACCAGUAGCAGCACUCCCUUAAUAGAGGAAUUCUUUCUUAGCAUCAGUAUAGGCAAAUUCAGCCUAAAUUUCAUGCCUCAAGGAUCAUCAUCUUUUGCAUUUGUUAAUGCUUUAGAAGUGUUCCUUGCCCCGGAGGAUUUCAUUCCUAAUGAUGCUCCACACAUCAGUCGUGCAGGAAGGAGUAGCAACAAUAGUUAUGAGGGUAUACGCUCUGAGGCAUUACAAACAAUUCACAGGAUCAAUGUUGGUGGGAGUAACCUCACGCCGGAUAAUGACACUCUAUGGAGGUAUUGGGUUCCAGAUGAUAGUUACCUUUAUAAUCCAGUCACUGCCAAGAACAGCACUUUUCAUCCAGAUAGGCCUAAUUAUCUGGGAGGAAUCAACGAAUAUAUAGCUCCGGAUCUUGUCUACCAGACCGCCAAGGAGAUGAAUAUAGAUGGAAAUAGAACUUCAAAUACCUUCAAUGUAUCCUGGUCAUUCAAUGUCAGUAAGAAUGCAAGGCACUUUGUUCGGGUUCACUUCUGCGAUAUAAUUAGUCAAUCUCUUGGUGUUUUACGCUUUAAUCUCUUUAUCUUCAGCAACUACAGCAUUUUAAUUGAUCCCUAUGACAAAACUGGCCAAUUGGCAGCGCCUUUUUAUAUUGAUUUUGUUGUGGAUUCUGAUGAUUCUGGACUUGUGAAUUUUAGCAUAGGCCCUCGGGCUGAUUCUGAUGAAAAAACUGCCUUUUUGAAUGGUCUGGAAAUUUUGCAGAUUGUGGGAGAAUCGGGUUCAGUGUCAAGAAAACAUGAGCCGAACAAGACUCCUAUCUUUAUUGUUGUUGGUUCAGUUAUUGGAGGUAUAGGUCUCAGCUGCAUUUUGGCAGUUGUUAUAUGCCUGUGCUUGAGAUGCAGGAAACCAAAAACAGUCGAAAAUUGGGAGUGGUCCCCAAGGCCUGUACGUAGAGGGGGAAGUUCUCACAAUAGGAUGCCCGAGGGAAGCGUAAUAGGCUCCCGUGUACCUGACUUAAACCUAGGAUUAAAGAUAUCUUUUGCUGAAAUUCAGUUCGCGACCAACAACUUUGAUGUAAAAAUGAUAGUUGGUAAGGGUGGAUUUGGGCUUGUCUUUAGAGGAACUCUAAGGAAUGGAAUGAAAGUUGCUGUGAAGCGAAGUGAGCCAGGAUCAGGCCAAGGCCUUUCAGAAUUCCAAACAGAAAUUAUGGUGUUAUCCAAGAUUCGUCACCGCCAUCUUGUUUCCCUGAUUGGGUAUUGUGAUGAAAUGUCAGAAAUGAUAUUGGUUUAUGAAUUCAUGGAAAAGG
RNAcentral lists this unclassified non-coding RNA (1933 nucleotides) under Hevea brasiliensis (rubber tree). Lineage: Eukaryota; Viridiplantae; Streptophyta; Magnoliopsida; Malpighiales; Euphorbiaceae. The record is from RNAcentral.